AGCUUGAUGUAGUGGUUUGAGGACUGGACUAUGACUCUAGAGACCAGGGUUCAAAUCCCUGCUCAACUA
This is a non-coding RNA of Phrynosoma platyrhinos (Desert horned lizard), 69 nucleotides long. Lineage: Eukaryota; Metazoa; Chordata; Lepidosauria; Squamata; Phrynosomatidae. The record is from the annotation of a GenBank genome assembly.